Picea glauca (white spruce) is the source of this 1758-nucleotide non-coding RNA. Lineage: Eukaryota; Viridiplantae; Streptophyta; Pinopsida; Pinales; Pinaceae. The record is from Rfam.
GUUCAAAUGAGGAAGGGCUUAUGGUGGAUACCUAGGCCCCCAGAGAUGAGGAAGGGUGUGGUAAGCGACGAAAUGAUUCAGGGAGUUGAAAAUGAGCAUAGAUCCGGAGAUUCCCGAAUAAGUUAACCUUUUUAACUGCUGCUUAAUCCAUGGGCAGGCAAGAGACAACUUGGAGAACUUAAACAUCUUAGUAGCUAGAGGAAUAGAAAGCAAAAGUGAUUCCCAUAGUAGUGGCGAGCGAAAUGGGAGCAGCCUAAACCGUGAAAAUAAGGUUGUGGGAGAGCACAAUAUAAGCUCUAUGCUGCUAGGCGAAGCGGUUGAGUCAUGCACCCUAGAUGGUGAGAGUCCAGUAGCCAAAAGCAUCAUUGGGUUACGCUCUAACCCGAGUAGCAUGGGGCACGUGGAAUCUCGUGUGAAUCAGCAAGGACCACCUUGCAAGGCUAAAUACUCUUGGGUGACCAAUAACAAAGUAGUACUGUGAGGGAAAGGUGGAAAGAACCCCCAUCGGGGAGUGAAAUAGAACAUGAGACCGUAAGCUCCCAAGCAGUUGGAGGAAAAUGAUAUCUCUGACCAUGUGCCUAUUGAAGAAUGAGCCGACGACUUAUAGGCAGUGGCUUGGUUAAGGGAACCCACCGGAGCUGUAGCGAGAGCGAGUCUUCAUGGGGCAAUUGUCAUUUCUUAUGGACCUGAACCUAGGUGAUCUAUCCAUGACCAGGAUGAAGUUUGGGUGAAACUAAGUGGAGGUAUGAACCGACUAAUGUUGAAAAAUCAGUGGAUGAGUCGUGGUUAGGGGUGAAACGCCACUCAAACCUAGAGCUAGCUGGUUCUCCUCGAAAUGCAUUGAGGCGCAGCAGUUGACUGGACCAUCUAAGGGUAAAGCACUGUUUCGGUACUGGCCGUGAGAGCGAUACCAAAUCGAGGCAAACUCUGAAUACUAGAUUGCCCCAAUAAAAGGAGUAAAGGUCAGCCAAUGAGACGAUGGGGGAUAAGCUUCAUCGUCAAGAGGGAAACAUCCUAGAUCAUCAGCUAAGGCCCCUAAAUGACCACUCAGUGAUGAAGGAAGUAUGAGUGCAAAGAUAGCCAGGAGGUUUUCCUAGAAGCAGCCAACCUUGAAAGAGUGCAUAAUAGCUCAUUGAUUGAGCGCUCUUGCACCGAAGAUGAACAUGACUAAGUGAUCUGCCGAAGCUGUGGGAUGUAAAAAUACAUCGGUAGGGGAGCAUUCUGCCUCAGAGGGAAGCACUGACGCGAGCAGGUGUGGACGAAGUAGAAGCGAGAAUGUCGGCUUGAGUAACGCAAACAUUGGUGAGAAUCCAAUGCCCUGAAAACCUAAGGGUUCCUCCGUAAGGUUCGUCCACGGAGGGUGAGUUAGGGCCUAAGAUCAGGUCGAAAGGCAUAGUCGAUGGACAACAAGUUAAUAUUCUUAUACUACCCCUUAUUGGUCCCGAGGGACGGAGGAGUCUAGGUUAGACGAAAGAUGGUUAUCGGUUCAAGGACGCAAGGUGACCCUCUAUACAUUGAUUCAAAGGUAAAAGAAGAAUCAAAUAUAGGUGUGUACAAGGUGAGGUUGGGGGUGGAUAUUCCUCAUCAUCUACUCUAGCACACAAAAAUCCAAGAUGGCUUAUCCAAAUAUUAUAGGAUGCAAAAAAUCAUGUAGGAGUGUCGAUAUCAUCAAUGAGGGUGAGUAUACCUCCUAGGAGAUAUGUUAACCAUAUUGUAUUAGAUUCUUCCAUUUGUGAUCUUUACAAUUGUUUUGAGGAG